GGGCAAGACCGGUGCCACCCGCCGCGGUAACACCGGCCUCUCAUGUGGUACCCGCUUUUAUUGGGCCUAAAGCGUCCGUAGCCGGUCUGAUAAGUCUCUGGUGAAAUCCCACAGCUUAACUGUGGGAAUUGCUGGAGAUACUAUCAUGACUCGAGGUCGGGAGAGGCUGGAGGUACUCCCAGGGUAGGGGUGAAAUCCUGUAAUCCUGGGAGGACCACCUGUGGCGAAGGCGUCCAGCUGGAACGAACCUGACGGUGAGGGACGAAAGCCAGGGGCGCGAACCGGAUUAGAUACCCGGGUAGUCCUGGCCGUAAACGAUGUGGACUUGGUGUUGGGAUGGCUUCGAGCUGCCCCAGUGCCGAAGGGAAGCUGUUAAGUCCACCGCCUGGGAAGUACGGCCGCAAGGCUGAAACUUAAAGGAAUUGGCGGGGGAGCACCACAACGCGUGGAGCC
This 453-nucleotide ribosomal RNA is filed under the name uncultured Methanothermobacter sp. RNAcentral describes it as "bacterial SSU rRNA". It matches the Rfam family "Archaeal small subunit ribosomal RNA", at positions 444 to 895 of the family's 1478-position model. Lineage: Archaea; Methanobacteriati; Methanobacteriota; Methanobacteria; Methanobacteriales; Methanobacteriaceae. The record is from RNAcentral.